CCUUUGACGUUAGCGGCGGACGGGUGAGUAACACGUGGGUAACCUACCUAUAAGACUGGGAUAACUUCGGGAAACCGGAGCUAAUACCGGAUAAUAUUUCGAACCGCAUGGUUCGAUAGUGAAAGANGGUUUUGCUAUCACUUAUAGAUGGACCCGCGCCGUAUUAGCUAGUUGGUAAGGUAACGGCUUACCAAGGCGACGAUACGUAGCCGACCUGAGAGGGUGAUCGGCCACACUGGAACUGAGACACGGUCCAGACUCCUACGGGAGGCAGCAGUG
RNAcentral lists this ribosomal RNA (279 nucleotides) under uncultured Staphylococcus sp. RNAcentral's name for it is "partial 16S ribosomal RNA". It matches the Rfam family "Bacterial small subunit ribosomal RNA", at positions 83 to 356 of the family's 1533-position model. Lineage: Bacteria; Bacillati; Bacillota; Bacilli; Caryophanales; Staphylococcaceae. The record is from RNAcentral.